RNAcentral lists this ribosomal RNA (497 nucleotides) under uncultured bacterium. Its description in RNAcentral is "partial 16S ribosomal RNA". It matches the Rfam family "Bacterial small subunit ribosomal RNA", at positions 28 to 507 of the family's 1533-position model. The record is from RNAcentral.
GAUGAACGCUGGCGGCGUGCCUAAUACAUGCAAGUCGAGCGAACGGACGAGAAGCUUGCUCCUCUGACGUUAGCGGCGGACGGGUGAGUAACACGUGGAUAACCUACCUAUAAGACUGGGAUAACUUCGGGAAACCGGAGCUAAUACCGGAUAAUAUAUUGAACCGCAUGGUUCAAUAGUGAAAGACGGUCUUGCUGUCACUUAUAGAUGGAUCCGCGCUGCAUUAGCUAGUUGGUAAGGUAACGGCUUACCAAGGCAACGAUGCAUAGCCGACCUGAGAGGGUGAUCGGCCACACUGGAACUGAGACACGGUCCAGACUCCUACGGGAGGCAGCAGUAGGGAAUCUUCCGCAAUGGGCGAAAGCCUGACGGAGCAACGCCGCGUGAGUGAUGAAGGUCUUCGGAUCGUAAAACUCUGUUAUUAGGGAAGAACAUAUGUGUAAGUAACUGUGCACGUCUUGACGGUACCUAAUCAGAAAGCCACGGCUAACUACGUG